This 336-nucleotide long non-coding RNA is filed under the name Mytilus galloprovincialis (Mediterranean mussel). The record is from RNAcentral. Lineage: Eukaryota; Metazoa; Mollusca; Bivalvia; Mytilida; Mytilidae.
AUUGAAUUAUAGUAAUUGCAAAUGUUCAAAAGCUGAUACUCUGCAAUAUGUUUGGAUUUUUGUAUUAGCUUGUUUUAAAUUAUGCUGUGCUUAGUACCAAUUUGAGGCGUAAAAACGUUGUCAAGUACAUGGAACUUUAAUUUUAUAGUUAAAAUUACAAUAAUCUUAUUAAAUGGUCAAUAAACUUCUUGAUAUUGAACCAUGAUUAAAACAAUUUGACGAUAAUGAACCAUACUUAUGCGCCUGUCCCAAGUCAGGAGCCUGUAAUUCAGUGGUUGUGGUUUGUUUAUGUGUUAUAUAUUUGUUUUUCGUUCAUUUUUUUUUUACAUAAAUAAG